AUGGCGAGAUGUGCGCCACCGAUCUACUUGGACAGGCAGAACACGGGCCGAAUUCGCCUGCGAUUCUGCUCACCAACUCCGAGAAGCUCGCGCGCGAGACCAUGGCCGAAAUCGAGCGCCUCCUGAANNNNNNNNCAAAGGCGUGGGAGGACUACAGCGAAGUGAUCGUCUGCGAUUCCGAAGAGGAGAUGGUGAAGGAAGCCGACCGCAUCGCCUCCGAGCAUGUGCAGGUGAUGA
RNAcentral lists this unclassified non-coding RNA (237 nucleotides) under Hevea brasiliensis (rubber tree). The record is from RNAcentral. Lineage: Eukaryota; Viridiplantae; Streptophyta; Magnoliopsida; Malpighiales; Euphorbiaceae.